Molecule: ribosomal RNA, 253 nt
Filed under: uncultured bacterium
Lineage: Bacteria
Description: partial 16S ribosomal RNA
Rfam family: Bacterial small subunit ribosomal RNA
Source: RNAcentral
UACGUAGGGCGCAAGCGUUGUCCGGAUUCACUGGGCGUAAAGGGCGCGUAGGCGGCGCGAGGAGUCGGGGGUGAAAGUCCGGGGCUCAACCCCGGAUCGGCCUUCGAUACUCUCGCGCUGGAGCACAGUAGAGGCGGGUGGAAUUCCGGGUGUAGCGGUGGAAUGCGUAGAGAUCCGGAAGAACACCGGUGGCGAAGGCGGCCCGCUGGGCUGUGGCUGACGCUGAGGCGCGACAGCGUGGGGAGCAAACAGG